Molecule: microRNA precursor, 58 nt
Filed under: Echinops telfairi (small Madagascar hedgehog)
Lineage: Eukaryota; Metazoa; Chordata; Mammalia; Afrosoricida; Tenrecidae
Description: Ete-Mir-26-P2_pre stem-loop
Source: RNAcentral
UUCAAGUAAUUCAGGAUAGGCUGUGUGGUGUUCAAGCCUGUUCUUCAUUACUUGGCUC